Molecule: long non-coding RNA, 1227 nt
Organism: Herpailurus yagouaroundi (jaguarundi)
Lineage: Eukaryota; Metazoa; Chordata; Mammalia; Carnivora; Felidae
Exons: 2
Source: RefSeq, a predicted model, not a curated record
UUCUUGAUGACUUUCCAGAAUAAGACAAGAAGGACAGAGCUCCAUGAUCAGGGUCAUAAAGAUGCUUUUUCUGUCAAGCGCCUCGUGAGAAAUUUUGUUUGCUUUCUUUUUUUUCCAAAGUGAAAAGGGUGUGUGAAUAUUGACAAGUAAUCCACGCCACACUGUUUGUGUGCUGCACUUUUUUUAAUGCAGACUGACUUUGACAAAUAAAAGGCAACCAAAGAGCCCUGGUUUGCAUAGGUUUAAGAGGAUUUUCACACUCUUUCGAAGAGCUCAAUUGCAGUUAAGUACAGGGAUGGAGUCUCCAAGGAAAACGGACUGGUUCCACCUUGAUUCACAUUUGAUUUGCCCUAUCACUCUUUCCUGUAUCCACAGCAUCCACUCAAAAGAUGAAGCGCUCCUCAAUAUAAUGUAGAGGGUAACUGAUCAGCUUGGCUCCAAUGCAACUGUGCUGACAUUUGCUAAAACGCCCAAACCCAAUGGGAUAAAUUAUUCAGUUUACCUGAAAGAUGAGGGAAGGGCUGUGACGGGUUGUUAAAGAAGAAUACUCCUAGCCUCCUCUGCUUUCAAAGGAUGCAAAGGAUUGUCAGCUCCAGCCUACUUCUCAAAUAAACCACGAAAUCCACAAGCCCAAAUGGAGAUUCUCCUUUUCAGCCACAUCCAUUCUUAAUUUCUGUUCCCCCGGCAGGCAAGGCACAGGAGAGACAAGUCAGAUGAUUUGCAGCUCAAACUAUAAAAGAAGUUUCAGAGAAACAAUAGGAAAAAAAAAAGAAGGUUUGGUCAGCAAGCCGCCGCUAGAACACUGCAUAAGAAGAGAAUUUUCAGACAUGAAAUACACACACGCACCCACACAAUACACACACGCACGCAAAUAUUUCGUAGCAUGCUGCAUGAUUACAUCUCACACAUACACUGCUAUUACAGCGAAGCAUGAUUUAUGUGCACCAUCUCAACGUGUCCCGGCGCUUUAUUAUUUGGAAUUCCUUUUCCCCCUAAGCAACGUCAAUAUACAAAAGAGCCCGGCAUGAACAUGUGAUACCUGUUAAGUAUAACAUGAAAUAUGACACUUAAAAGCAAAUUGGUGACUAAUUCCUGGGGCUGUUUGUUCAUUCCCAUUUAAACUAAGUCACCUGCUCUUAAGGAAGCGUUUAGAAAUCAAAAUCCAGAAAACAAAAGCAAAACCGGACUCUGACUACAGGUGGCGUUAAUAAAAUCCAUCCUGACUCA